UGGGGUUUAUGUCAGGAAUGGAGCGAACCCGCUUUUUGAACCGGUUGCCGGUCAUCAUCUUUUUGACGGUGACGGCAUGGUUCAUGCUGUCACUGUCGAAAAUGGUUCAGUGAGCUAUUCUUGCCGUUUUACUGAAACGGAAAGAUUAGUUCAAGAGCGUGAAUUGGGUCACCCUGUUUUUCCUAAAGCUAUUGGUGAACUCCAUGGUCAUUCUGGAAUUGCG
Molecule: unclassified non-coding RNA, 223 nt
Filed under: Hevea brasiliensis (rubber tree)
Lineage: Eukaryota; Viridiplantae; Streptophyta; Magnoliopsida; Malpighiales; Euphorbiaceae
Source: RNAcentral